Quercus lobata is the source of this 1907-nucleotide long non-coding RNA. RefSeq lists it as uncharacterized. Lineage: Eukaryota; Viridiplantae; Streptophyta; Magnoliopsida; Fagales; Fagaceae. The record is from RefSeq and is a predicted model, not a curated record. The transcript has 10 exons.
GAGAGUCAUUGUCUUCAUAAAAACACAAACCCAAACGAUGUAUUCCCAAUUAAAAGUCAAACUCACUCUAACUUCAGUUUCUCCUCUUAUGAAUACUCUUAACACCGACGCUUGCGAUAUAGAGAUAGAGAAGGAGGAAAAAAAAACCUUGCGAUACAGAGAAGGAGACAGAGUUCGUACCCGCCACUGUCCGUUCCAUUGCCAGAAUUAUACCAGUCAAACCGGCGCCGAUAACCUAAAGGUGCACACAGGAAUUGAGAUACGGACAUAGAGAGAACUACCACCGAGUGCAAACUUACCCACUUAGAUUUCUGCCACCAAGUCAGUUUAGAGUCAUAAGAGAACGAUCGUUACAUCGUUUGAAGAUUCUUUUAAUAACCGUUUGGAAUAAGUUGAUACAAAAGGAGAGAGGACGAUAGAGAGACGAAGAAGAAGGAUUAUUAUAUAAGAAGAGAAAGCCAGUGGAGCAUACACAGGUCAAGAAGGGAGAAGGUUUUUAUGGUGAUUGGCUUUUUAAAUUGGCUUUUUGAUUGUUGAGUGGAACCAUGAAGGCAAGCGGAUAUAGAAGAUGUCCAUGAGACCAAAUGUAAGAGAGAGUUUGAGAGACAAUCAGCAUGGCAAGCGUUGGAGAUCUGUUGCCCAUCCAAAGAGAUUCAAUAGAGAGAGUCUGUAAUGCAAUGAGAGAGAAAUUUGAUGGCCCUGCCACUGCCUUCUCGGUCUUCUGCCACUGCCAUACUUUCAGAACCAUUACCGAAAACUCCUUUUAGCCUAUUUUUCCCCGAAACCAAACACCCAAAAACCUUGAACCAAAGAGAGCCAUAAUAGGAACAACUGGUCAUGAGUCACAACCACAACCCAUCCAAGCAUCUACAAUGUCAACAAUGACAAGAAUAGAAGGUAUGAUAAUAAAUGAUUUUGUUCUUUUGAUUAAAUCUAUAGAGCCCAAAAGUUUAAUGUUUUCACCUUACAUUACACUUUGUAUUAAUGAGCAUCCCGCUUAAUCCUAGAUUUACAAGUUGAAUGAUGUCACUUCUCAUUAGAUGGGGAGUCCAUAUGCUUAUAGGUGGGCUCGGUAGGAAGCCAAGAAGAGAUAAAAGCAGAAGCCUUUCCCUGCAAUUAAGCCCAUUGCAACAUGUAGGAAGCAUUUGGCAAGGGAAAGUGCUCACUUGGUUUUAAACAAAGCUCUCUCUCAAUGCAAGGAGUGUAGAUACUGAAAAAUUAUAGACAAUAGAAAUAGUAUUUGGAGAAGAUAAAGUAUUCAAAGAGGAUGAUCAACAUUGCUAUGCUGAAACUUGGGAAUAUGGUGUUGCAGAGAAGAAACAGAACAAAGAACCCUCCCACCACUGACCUGCCAGAACUGCAAACAGUUAAAACACAUAGGAAUGGAAUUAAAGUCGGUGACGUGACUAGCAUAAGAAGCAGGUCUUAAUUGCUAUUAAGAGCUGGAGAGUAGGAGAGUAGUUGAGAAACUGCCAGAGACAAAUAAGGAAAUGGCUAUAAAUGAAGUUAAGAAGAGGGCAAAAAUUGUCAAUAUCCUUAUGCACCAAGAAAUUUAUGGAAAAGGAUUGCGCUAAAAGCAUCAAGUAGAUGUACAUGGCUUAGGAAAGGGAUCAGGUAGCUGCAAAUUUCUCUAUGAGAUUUCAUAAAUUUAACUUUGAUAUAGUGCUACUAUCUUUUAUUUUUUAGAGGGCAGUACAGUGAUUGGUAUUGAUAAAACUCUAUAAUAUAACUUUUACAAGAGUUUUAGUUUUUUAUUUUUUUCCUACCCUAAGAUAUAUCUUUUGUCCAGUCUUUGUAUUCUUGAAAUUAAUUGUCCUUUGUGUAGUUUAAAUUGGAUUGUUAUAGUAAGAAUCCUGUAAUCGUGACAAACAUAGUUUGUAUAAUUGAGGUUCUUUGUAUUUUCCUUA